Molecule: long non-coding RNA, 891 nt
Filed under: Panax ginseng (ginseng)
Lineage: Eukaryota; Viridiplantae; Streptophyta; Magnoliopsida; Apiales; Araliaceae
Description: long non-coding RNA (PGIN_LNC018549)
Source: RNAcentral
UCUAUCCAAUGCAUUUGAUCCCCUUGAAAACCCGAUUUUAACUUGCCAAAAUUUUGAAUACUAGCCAUACAAGUUUUAGGCUGAAAAAGGAUAAACAAACACAUUCCUAUAAAAUAAACGAAUGCCCAAUUUCCCAUAAUCACAACAAAGAAGUAAAAUUCAGCUGGAUAGUGGAAAUUGAAGGGGAAAAGGGUGUGAAUGAAAAGUAACUUUUGAUCUGUUUACAUGCUAACUAGCCCAUAUAAAACUCUAUAUUCAGCGAUGGAAUCUACCAUCAAACUUGGCAACAAGUAAUAAUAAACUACCACAAGGGCCAAAAUGAUAGAUUACGAAAAUAUAGGGGUAUCUAAAACAGAAUUACAGGUUGUACAAAAACCAAAUAUAUUUGAGACUUCAAAAAAUCACCUACCGGAGUACCAAAAGCAACAAGCACUACUAAAGGGGAACUCUUGAUUUGGCCAUGAAAAGAGAAACCCAGUAGCAGAAUUUAUGCAUUUAGCCACCAACCAUAGCAAGUUCAAUUCAGCCAAAAUUGACCAAAAGAGGCCAUAACUACCAAAUUGAACAAAGACCCACCAGAGUUAAACCCACGCAAAGGACUAAAAUGACGGAAUCAACAGAGGAAAAUCAAUGGGAACUCUUGAUUUGAAAAUUAAAAGAGACACCCAACGACUCGAAGAAGAAGAAGAAGAAGAAGCUUUAAGUUACAUACCAGGUAAACGAGGGAAAUUAAAGGGGCCAAUUCAUAAAUUGACUAAAUUUGGAGAGAUGAAGAAACAAGUGGAAAUUUUGAAGACAAAAAUCCAAACAGAAUGAGAUGAAUCUGUUUGUGUGCUUAUGUCAAAAGAAUUGGAAAGUUCUGAAAUGGGUAUAAAUCUCUUUAAAACCCUG